This 363-nucleotide ribosomal RNA is filed under the name uncultured bacterium. RNAcentral describes it as "bacterial SSU rRNA". It matches the Rfam family "Bacterial small subunit ribosomal RNA", at positions 74 to 422 of the family's 1533-position model. The record is from RNAcentral.
AGGGAGCAAUCCCCGGUAGAGUGGCGCACGGGUGAGUAACACGUGGGCAACCUUCCCAUGAGUGGGGGAUAACCUUCCGAAAGGAGGGCUAAUACCGCAUAAGACCACGGAGAGUCCGCUCUCUGAGGUCAAAGCCGGCCUCUGUAAACAAGCUGGCGCUUAUGGAUGAGUCCGCGGCCCAUCAGCUAGUUGGCGGUGUAAAGGACCACCAAGGCGAAGACGGGUAGCUGGUCUGAGAGGAUGAUCAGCCACACUGGGACUGAGACACGGCCCAGACUCCUACGGGAGGCAGCAGUGGGGAAUUGUUCGCAAUGGGCGAAAGCCUGACGACGCAACGCCGCGUGGAGGAUGAAGACCUUCGGG